This is a long non-coding RNA of Apis dorsata (giant honeybee), 1344 nucleotides long. RefSeq lists it as uncharacterized. Lineage: Eukaryota; Metazoa; Arthropoda; Insecta; Hymenoptera; Apidae. The record is from RefSeq and is a predicted model, not a curated record. The transcript has 3 exons.
AGCCAGCUAGAAGUAUCAAGCGGUGGAGGAGGAAGGUGGUGAGAGAACGCGAAGAAGGCAAGGGUGAAACACGUUGAAGAAACGAGAGUCGACUUUCACGGCGGUGUGUCUCGAAGGCAGAGCGGGGUCUCUGCUUCCGACUGCAGAUACAUUGCGACAUGGAACUAGGGGUUAGUGUAGGGGGGUUUCGUGGCGGCGCGAGAGGGGUGAAGGGACCGGCGACGAGGGUGGUGGGUCGCUCGGGGCUCGAAAGGGGGAUGAAAUGCGCCGCGACGCGCUGCGGCGAAGCCAGACGGAGACGGACUCAGUUUCUGCUCCGCAUCCGCAGCAUCCUCCCUCUCUGUUCCCCUCUCUUUCCCAACUUCCCUUCUUCGCAUCCUCUUCCUUCAUUCUUUCUCUCCCUUCCCCACCCGAAACGACUUUUACUCCGGUUCCUCCUCCUCCUCCUCCUCCUCCUCCCUCCUCCCUCCUCCCUUCUUCCUUCUCUUCUUCCGGCUCUGGCGUGUUUCCCUUUUCCACGCGCCCGGUGUUUCGCUCUCUUUCCCUCCCUCUGUUUCCGUCUCUCUCUGUUUCACCCCCCGCGACUCAAACCACCGCGGUCCAGUCGAGUGUCGGCUCGUAUACCGAACGGUUCACCUCGUGGCUCGUUCGUUUCGCAGCUGCGUGACGUUUAAAUAAAACGUUCGUUCGGCUGUUAAGGAUCCAUUGCCUGCCGGCUUCCUCCACGUCAAACGCGUUGUUCGAGAUCGAAAGGAUCGACGGGGAUGACGAGGAGGUUCUAUCCGACUGGUUGGUGGCAGGCAACGCGACCAGUGUAAAAGCCAGCGACCGGGAUCCACGUGGUGUUGACGUGAAAGAAGGUGAAAUCGCAGUGAUAGAAGGAAAACCAGAAAAGGAAGAAGUCAGUUAUUUUGGUGCUAAUUAAGUGACGACGUUCAUACGUACACGUGUACAUAUACAACAAUCAGCAAUAGUGUCUAAUUGGCACGGAAACAACACAAUCAUUCUUAAUUAGUUAAUUUGCGAAGAGGCUCAACAUAGAAUGCAUCGCAACACGCUCGAUUAUUACAGGAUGCAGUUACUUCUGAUCAUCUCGGGAUAAUCAUCCUGUCAUUUGGCUAUUCCCCGAAAUCGGGCCAAAUCUGGUGAACGAAGGAUUACAAUACCGCCUUAACGAUAAUUCGAACAACUUUUCUUCUCUUCUAUGACAAGUUCCUACAGUACGUGACCAAAUUUGCGACUAUGACUAGCGGACAAAGGAAUAAGUCCGUAGUACAUCCGGAACAGCGGUAUGCGUACAUGCCCUGUCCGCUUUACGACACUGAACUUCAGCGAGAAGGGAUU